UGUCAUAGGUGCCCGUGGCAAUCUUUUC
This 28-nucleotide non-coding RNA is filed under the name Mus musculus (house mouse). Lineage: Eukaryota; Metazoa; Chordata; Mammalia; Rodentia; Muridae. The record is from RNAcentral.